AGGGUUCGAUUCUGGCUCAGGAUGAACGCUAGCGAUAGGCCUAACACAUGCAAGUCGAGGGGCAUCACAUGGGGUAGCAAUACUUCUGGUGGCGACCGGCGCACGGGUGAGUAACACGUAUGCAACCUGCCUUCAACAAGGGCAUAACCCGUUGAAAGACGGACUAAUUCCCUAUGACACAGGGGUCCCGCAUGGGGAUAUUUGUUAAAGAUUUUAUCGGUUGAAGAUGGGCAUGCGUUCCAUUAGCUUGUUGGCGGGGUAACGGCCACCAAGGCAACGAUGGAUAGGGGAACUGAGAGGUUUAUCCCCACACUGGUACUGAGACACGGACCAGACUCCUACGGGAGGCAGCAGUGAGGAAUAUUGGUCAAUGGACGCAAGUCUGAACCAGCCACGUCGCGUGAAGGAAGACGGCCCUACGGGUUGUAAACUUCUUUUAUACGGGAAUAAAGUGCCCCACGUGUGGGGUUUUACAUGUACCGUAUGAAUAAGGAUCGGCUAACUCCGUGCCAGCCGCCGC
Molecule: ribosomal RNA, 520 nt
Filed under: uncultured bacterium
Lineage: Bacteria
Description: bacterial SSU rRNA
Rfam family: Bacterial small subunit ribosomal RNA
Source: RNAcentral